Molecule: small RNA, 25 nt
Filed under: Bombyx mori (domestic silkworm)
Lineage: Eukaryota; Metazoa; Arthropoda; Insecta; Lepidoptera; Bombycidae
Description: ovarian small RNA-14332
Source: RNAcentral
CGCAGUCAUCGCUGCCAGGCCUUCG